CUCCAUAAAUUAAUACAUUUCUUUACACUCAUAUUUUCUCUCCAUUAAUAAAUUAUUUUACCCCAAUAAUUAUAACCCAUCUCUCUCCCUUACUAGUUUAUUAAUUGAAAUUUUUUUGGUCAUCCGAAUUGAACCCAACUGUUUCAAAAAGCGUGAUUCUUGGUCUUCCUAACUGCGCCAUUGAUCGUGCUUCUGGAGCCUUCUUUGAACAACUAUUUUGUGUUGUCAUUAAGUCCUGAAUCAUGUGGAGAACAAUCCAUAUUCUCCAUUGUUUUGGGUUCUCUUUGCUCUCUAAAAAUUAUUCUCUCUCUAAAAAGAAACCUUCUCUUCUUUGAAUUUUGUUGCAUAUUUGUUUUAGUAAAAGCGUAGAUUUCUCUAUUGUUAUUCUCGUGCAGGGGCUAGGUAAAAGCAAGGCAGAAAGUUAGAUUUCGAAACACAACAAUCAUUGGUCGUUCCUUAAAAACAUAAAAGUUGUGUGGAAGUAUGCACAAUCGCACGUUAAUGUUGCAUUGACUAUCAAUUUCCACAAAAAAAAAGAAAGAAAGAACAAAAAGACUUUAAAAUUAAGUACUCAAGUGGACAAGAUAUAGAUGUCCCAGCCUCCCAGGUUUCUUAAACUUUGAAGAGUAUACUCUGUUGAAUGAAAGCAGAGCAAAAAUACAUGCAAUGCAUAAGAAAGAAGAAACCUAAAAGUGACAUGAUCGCUAGAAGCAUGUAGGAACGAACAUCAUAAUCAAUUGCGAUUUCCAUGCUUGUCAUGUUCAUUGUAUAGAACAUUAUAGCUCCUUCAGAAGAACAUUAAGCACCUUAUCCAGGCAAGAAGCAGAACCGACAACUAAGAAACAGAAGAAACUGGUUUAUGUAAUCUUCUAACAAAACAAUUGCAAUAAUUAAUUAUGCAUCACACUGUAGAGUUGUGAUGGCACCCAUGUCUGAAUCAUCAGAGCUUAAAGAGCAGAAAGUACCUCUUUACAUGCUUGAUAUGACAUUCACCAGGGAAGAAAUAUCGGUAAUCUCUUAUCAACAUUCUGAUCCUCUAGUAUUUAUUUUAGAAAUUGAUGAACAAUCAAUUCGUAAAAAUCAAGGCGGUUGAGUAAGCUACAAACCCAUCAUUGGGUUCUUUGGAGAAUUAAUUAAGUCAGAAGGGUGGAUGACCCUCACAAAGACAAUCAUUGAUGAGGAAGAAGUCACAGUAAUUGUCCUUCAAGAGUUGUACGAUAUUUAUUCACCUAAUAUAUAUAAUUUCAUAUUAGCUAGAAAACUAAUGGUAGCAAUAAUUAGCAUAUUCUCCACCUAGAAAACUAAUGAUAGCAAUAAGUAGCAUAUUAUCCACUUAUCACCAAACCCUUUUAUUUAUAGAGGAGGAUGGUCAUAUUGGACGAGUUAAGGGAAACUAGAGUGUUGCUUGUUGGGGUGUUCUUUGGGGGUACUCGCCAUUUCAGGUACCUGAAAAGCCAAGUAUUUGGUUAGUCGGGUACUUUUUUAACGACUUAUGUCCCGGCCUAAUUAAUGGGGGUACCCGGAUUUUAGGUACCCAAAUAAGUGGGGUGAUUUUUUUGGGCAGAUUUCAUAUUUAAUUAUAUGACAAUUUCAGUGAGUAAAAUCUGGGCAAAAUAUAUACAGAAUUUUGACGGCCAAAAUUUUGAAAAUUAAGUAGUAUAAUUUGGACAGAAGUUUUAAUUGUAAAACUACAUCACUAUCGUUUUACCUCUUAUCUCACCAGUAAAAUCUCGAUUCCAAUUGAGUUCUAAACUACAUGGACAAAUAUCCAAAAAGGCAUUUUCUAAAUUAGAAGCAAAUCCACAUCACUGUCAUUUUACCUCUUAUCUCACCAGUACAGUUGGUGCUCUUCAUCUCACAAUUACUGUAAACAGUAAUUAUGAUUCUGAACAGUGCAUCUGUCUUAAAGUAUUUAAGAAAUCUAAAACAAGACUCUUAGAUUUAUCAUUUAAUCUUAGACAAUAAAAUGCUCCCUUCUAUUCCUCCCAUUAGUCCCAUUUGACUUUUCACCAUUUUUUAGGUUGGUCAAAUGAGACCACUUAAAUAGGAGAGAGAAAGUGAAUUAGUAAAUUGUUAAUGAUUCCUUAUUAGAUUAAUGAUUCCCUCAAAAUUUUAAUUUUGCCUCCCAAUUUCUGAAAAUGGAUAAAAAAAUCUAAAAAUUCAUGAAUGAAUUAAAAAAUUCUUAAAAUUAAACAUAACAUUAAAAAUCUGAUACAAGUCGUGACUAAUACAUUCAUGAAUUUAUAUAUUACGUAGUUCGCCAUACAUUAAAAUUAACAGUUCCAACAACGAAAAAUAAAAUUACAUAGAUCGACUACUUAAUUUCCCCAAGCUUUUUCAACUCUUCAACAGCAUCGGAAUAGUCGUAGUCUUUGCUGCUCAUGUGAUGCAUUAAAAUUAGGCCACAAAAUUAAACCAAACAACCACAUUUGUCAAAUCUUUUUGUUUCAUCAAGUAUUCAAAUGUCCAAAAUUUUCAAAAACUAAAAACAGAAUUCGAGAGGCAAUAACACAAAAUACUCCAAAACACAAUUUGAGAGGAAACAAUCAAAAAAUGAAAUUCUAAAAUAUCCAAAUCUAAAAACAAAAUUCUGGAGGGAAUAAACAAAAAUAAGCAAAAUAGAAUUUGGGAGAGAACAAUAAAAAAAUGAAAUUCCAAAAUAUCCAGAAUAAUUAGAGUAAUCAUCAGAUUCAUCAGGAUAAUUAGGGUAAUCAUCAUCAACCCUUUUAGGGUUAUCAAGAUCAACCCUUUUAAGGCUAUCAUCAAGAAUCUUACCAGUGUUCAUCAAACCCACAAAAUCAUCAAGAACAAACCCAGAUCCUGAAACGAAAAAAAAAAAUCAAGAACAAACUCAGAUCUUGAACAAACAAAGAAAAAAAAAGGUAAAAAAUCAACAACAAACCCAGAUUUUGAAAAACAAACCCUCAGAUUUUGAACAACAACCCCACCAAAAUCGAAAAACAAACGCACAAAAUAAUCAAGAAAAAACCCAGACCUUGAAAAAAAAAAAAAAAAAAAACCAAAUCAUCAACAACAAACCAAAAAAUCGAAGAA
Molecule: long non-coding RNA, 3054 nt
Organism: Amaranthus tricolor (Joseph's coat)
Lineage: Eukaryota; Viridiplantae; Streptophyta; Magnoliopsida; Caryophyllales; Amaranthaceae
Exons: 2
Source: RefSeq, a predicted model, not a curated record